UUAAACCAUGCAAAGAUUGAAUUAAGCAAUUAUGUGCAUACUGCAUACAGACGAUUACUGCUGGCAAAGCGCUUCCUUCAUCUUAGUCACCCUGUGUAUCUCGUGAGCUAUAAGUUUGGAGGCGGGAUCUUGGAUGUAUCUCUGAAGCGUCCAAACUGCUCAUGGUGGAGGUGGAGGUGCACCUUGGAAACAGAUCGGGAUGGAUCAUCACAUUUGAAUCUCCGCCAUCGGACUUGCAACUGGGUGCAAAUGACUAGCAUGCAAAUAAGUUGACAAAGCUAUCCCCCAAGUUCAGCCUCAUCUUUUUCGGGUCUAUCAUCUCAGGCACGAGAGGCGUUCGAGGGGAUAGCUUUGGUUUUCCGAUUAGGGUCCACCCCUCCCCAUCCCAGUUAUGGCAUGCCAGUAAUUCCUUCCGAGUGCUUGGGAAUCUAAAGUUCGCAUGAAUGCCUGAUUGACUUCGUCCACUAUUUUCUAGUGACGAGGUGUCGAGGGUUAUCUUGGAAAUCUGGUCGAGGGAUGAAAAAAAUCUGAACAUGCGAGAAUCGUGUUGGACCACGCCAAGAUGUGCUUCACAAAAGGUUGAUGCUCAAAUGUCGAACAAAAACUGACACUCGAGACAUUCCUUGGCUUAAAAAACGAAUUGUUCUCUCUGCUUUUACUCUAAAGGAUUGUGAAAAAACAAAUUCUAAUGGAAUUCUGGCUUUCUGUGGCCAAGGCAUCAAAAGCUGGCAUGACAUUUAGGGCAUGGGGAUUUGUUCGUGGCCACACUCAACCUUUUGUCGACAGAAAUGUUUCCGGUCUGAGAAGGCACUGCAAGAAUCGGAUUUCUCAAGUUUAUCCGUCCCGAAUCUGGCUAAAUUCUUGCCUGGACCCGUGGGAGGGAAAGACAACGCCCCCUCAUGACUUGACUGGGAAGUCUUGGCGAACGUCGUCUCAAGAUGUUGCAAGCGGCGCUCGAAAUCCUUUGAUUGGAAUUCGAUUUCUUUUCCGUGGAAUGAAUGUGAACGCACCGAUUGAUGAGGAUACUCUGACCCGGACUGUCCUCAGUUCAUAAUCUUUUAUGUGGAGAGAGCUCUCUCAAGUUUUUGACCCGAAAGUUUCAAGUUGAUCCCUUCUUUCAAGUGUUCUCUUUGCCGGCAUCUUCCACUUCUCUUUGAGCAAAGAGAUGUGAUCUAAAAUGUGCUUCCUUACCGCUUCGUCCAUAACAAGUAGGUGGUGACAGACUUACCGUUGUCUAAAAACAUGUUCCGUAGCCACCAUUGUACACUUUAACAUGGAGUAAACAUCCUUUUCCAAAAUGACCACAACCACCAAAAUGUGUCAGAAAAAGUGUCUUCCUUGCUUUGCGAGUCGCCGGCACACGUCUCAACUGUCACAGAAUCUCCGAGCAACUGAAACCAUGAUGAUGAAGAAGAGGCAGCUAGCCGUGAGAAGCGGCAUCCCUGAAAAAUCUCCGAAGACAUGCAAACUUGCCCGCGUCCUCCGUCUCAGUUUUCGCGUGAGAGUGUGGCUGCGGCGGGCCCUUGGUUUUCCGGCGGCCGUCAGAGGCGCUGCUUGUGAGCAAGUUGAGAUUUGAAAAUUGAGAAUUGAGAAGCGUCAAGCAAGCAAGCAUGAUGAUCCAUCCUGCAUUGGCGGUUCACGUGGUUAGAAGUCAUGCAAAUUGCUUGAUGAUCAAGAGGAAGGACCUGAAGAAGACGAAGAAAAAGAUGAACAAGACGAGGAGGACGGAAAAGCGGAUCGCGGAGUACUCGUAUUCGGAAAGGAUUUGGUCUGACGGCCUGGUUACACAAUGAAUAUGUCAAUCCGUUCCUCCAAGGACUUAACUCGACCUCUGCAUUGUGUAUGUAUAGUGGUAGUCCGUCCGUUCGUUCUUCCAUAAUACCUACUAUGUGGGUUUGAGAGCCCACCACCGGAAACCAUUGAUCAAUUAAUUGCUCACAUUGAUUUCGUAACAUCCCUCGAUUACAUUCGCUGAUCAUGGAACCCUCCCAUCUGCAUGUCAGCGGAACUUGAAAUUGUCAUUCUUCGCAUUCUCCAACGGAUUCACCAUUCACCAAUCACCGUCUACCCUACGACCGACGAUUCGUGCGAUUCUUGCCAUUAUUACCAAGGGUCAUGACUAGCAUUUCGUGGUGGAAGGUGGGAGGUAUUGAAUGGAUAUCAUAAAAAGCUACUGACCAAAUAACACACUAUUAGAUUUUUAUCCUUUGACAUCGAGUAAUGAUGUAUAUAUGUAGACCCUCUUCUGUUUUUCGUAGCACCCUUGCUUGCCUUCUGAACCAAGAUGUAUAAUUCUUUUCCAUGAAA
Molecule: long non-coding RNA, 2307 nt
Organism: Tigriopus californicus
Lineage: Eukaryota; Metazoa; Arthropoda; Copepoda; Harpacticoida; Harpacticidae
Exons: 3
Source: RefSeq, a predicted model, not a curated record